CUUAGAUAAUUCAUAUAUUUAUUACAUCAGUUGCUUUAUCUGGUUUUAUACACACUAUGUGUCGGAUGUUGGUAAGUCUUAUAUAACGUGACGGAUGUUGGUAUGUCAUGUGACGGAUAUUGGUAAGUCUUAUGUCAUGUGACGGAUGUUGGUAAGUCGUAUAUCACGUUGUUUAUGUUUGUCUUAAGUUCUGAUUGCACAUCUUUAAAUGUUUCGGUUUAAUUUAUUGAUAAAUCGUAUAACAUGUUAUAACUGUUAACCUACCUAUCUAAAUAAACUUCCAAAUAAACCUAUGUUGUACGAAAAGUUGGGCUUCUAAAGAUUCGGGUGCUCCGAAAAAGUUGGACAGGACCUGCUUCACCUGUGAUACUGGUCAUAAUAAAAUCAUUUUUAAAUUAAAAGAUGUAAUAAUGUCGGAAUGAGCAAAUAAAAUUCUGGAUGUGUACAAUAGCUUUGUGAAUUGCGAAAACAUUAGAGUGUAACAAUUAUAAUAAGUAUUCUGAUAAUGAUUAAAAACUACCAUAACUAAAUACUCAAUGUAUUUCCCCUGAGUACAAACAUAUACCAUGUCAUUUUCUUAAAUGUUUCUUCUAUUGUCAUACUCUUCUAAAUAUCAAUAAAACAAUAAUCCUGUAAUGCAAUAACUGUAAGCAUGAAUAAACUAAUAUAUACUUACACAUGUAGUGAAUGAUUUUCACUUUAAAGUUCUGAUUCAAUAUAAAAUACAUUUCAGAUGUUUGUACGUGCGUUUAUACAUGGCUUGAUUGAUCAAUAGUUAGUAAUAAAAAAGCAUUAAGAUUAUUUUAAACGGUACAAUAUAAAUAUCAUCUUCAACAAAUGUAUCAAACCGGGCAGGUAUUAUGAAAAAUCAAUAGUCGACAACAUUGAUUUGAUUUGAAUAAAUGAUUGUCAAAGUUUAAUUAAUGAAAAAAACCUUUUUUUGUUAAAAAUUGCAAUGCUGAUAAGAAUUUUUAUUAAUUAACCGAAUUGCAAUUAUUCGUUCAAAAUAAUUAAAUUGUUUUUAAAUUAUUGUAGUUUGACCUAUUUAAUAGUAGGUCCGAAUAUAACCUACAGUGACUAUCGUAUAUUAUUUGGUCAUUUCCUAUUUUGUAUAUACAGAGGGGCAGAACAUGCAUAAGUCGGAAUGUCAUCCGAAUUUCUAAAAAAAAUAGUAUUUUUACGAAUCCAAAAAUCUACCUGCUGUUUUUGUUUUUGUGUCUUAAGUAGGGAUUUGUAGCUAAAUCUUCGGUUUUCUGAGCUGUGUACUGAUACUUUUUGUUUCUCCAUUUGUAGUUUUUUUUACCCUGAGAUUGACUAAUACAUAGAUUUAUGAUUUUGGUAUAUCCCUUCUCUCUGUUUUAUUGCCCAUGGUAAUCUAAUAUUAGAUAUAUACUUAAUGAUUUUUCUCAUGUUACAUUAAACAACGUUACACUUUUUUCGCCUGAUUUGAUUAUGAAGUAUUUAGUGAGUAAAAUUAGAAACGUAAGAAGAAAUUUCCAUAUAAUUGUUAAUUUAUACCAAUAUGAGGAAGAGAUUUGAGUUUUUUUGAAUUAUUUUUAAGUGACUAAACAAUUUUCUUAUCCAAAAACUUAUCAAUAUUUUAUAUACAUGUAACAUAUGUGCAAAAAUUAUAUAUAAUAUUAGUAUAAAAUGUCACAUUAUAGUGUGUCAUUGGGCUGAAUAUUCAAUUUUUCCUCAUUGACAAAGGAACGUGCAGGUAGGUUUAAGAUUCUCAUAUCACUUUGUAGAGUCCGUGGUAACAGUACACUUAUACAUCUCAAGCAGACUUGGAAUGAUCAUAACAAUUCAAAAUGCAGGUUACGAAUGUUAAACUAAAUAGUCAGGUUGUAUAAAUGUUAUCAUGAUCAAGUAUAUAAUGGUAAUUUUAAUUGCAAGAAAGGUAGAAAAUGGUGGAUUUGUUCACGCAUCGGUGACAAUAUAAUGGAAUUUGAUGCGACUGUCAUACAAGUGAGAGGUUUUAGCUGCUAUAAAACCAGUUCAAUCACCAUUUUUAAUUUGAAAAUGCCUUACCAAGUCAGAAAUGACAGUUCUGUCAUUCGUUUUUAUUAUUUUUUUUGGCCAUGUGUUAUAACUUCCGAAUUUCCUCUGAGUUCAGUAUUUUUGUGAUUUUACUUUUUUUGAACCUUGGUUAUGCCAAAUAACGUCUCGUCGUUCUUUAUAUAAAAAAGUUUAUUGGAAGAUACAAACACCUUGUUGAUAAAUAUUCCGUAUUACCUUCACAAAUAAUACAAGAUAAUCUCGAAGUAUGGAUUGUUGGUACUAGUUGUUAUCAUCUUUUUAAAAUAACAAAUUAUAGUAUUCUAACAAAACCUCUGUUAAACUAUUUAAUAAUGGAUAUAGUUACGAUACUAUUGUCAGGUCAUCAGGGAUUGCCUAUUUUGGCUUUAAUAUUGUUUUACUUAGGGUCUUUGCAGCGGAAAUAAACACAUUUAUUCUAAAACUAGUUGCUGGCAUGAUACGGGUUAUUCUUCUUCAUAUAUUUAUGAUGUAAAUACUAAACCCCUAAACGGGGGGUUAUACUUUAUAUUUAUAUUAUAAAGACAUGACCUUUCAAUCAGUUUAAUUGAGGUCUGGAGCUGGCAUGUCCUUUGUUAAUUUAUCUAUCAUUGUCAUUUGUUUCUUUUUUUACUGACGUCAGACUCGGACUUCUUUUGAACUGAGUUUUGCUACACAAGACUGAAAUGUGAAAAACCCCAACGUCUUUGCUUUGAAAAAAAUUGAACAAUUGUUUUCGAUUAUCAUCGAUUAUCAUCACAUAAAAUAAGUAAAAUUAACUUAAAAAAUAUGACAUGAUGUUGUUCUAACAAAUAGUUCAUAAGUAUCUAAUGCAUGUUAUCAAAUACAUGACUUUUGUGUAUGUUUAUAAUAAUAAUUUUAUAAUAAAAAAGGCCUAAUGGGCAUAUUAUAAUUUGUUAUUUGGUUUUGAUUAAUAGGCUUUAGAACAGCUGUAACUACAUAUUGCUGGACAUCGAGGCAGUUUGCUAAUUAUUAUGAUGAUGAAAAUACUACUCCUAUGUGUGUUUUUGGAAUAUACCCUACAAGGUAUGUUAUAAUUAUUUAUGUUGCAAUAGAAAUAUAGUUCAUAUACACUAAUAUAUUAAUUUCCAAAAUCCAUAUCUUGUUUAUGGUCGUUGGUUGUUGGUUCUUUAUUCUAUUUAAAUGACAUUGAAUAUACCAUGGCAUCAAUAUCUGUAUUGGUGCAAGAAUUUAAAGUACAUUAAAAGAAAUACAACCAUUCAGCAGGAAAACUAACAAUCCUUGUCAACGAAGAUCGGAGUAGAACACUACUUAGAAUGUCCAAGGUUUGAUCUAACAGUAUCGGGUCCCAUGCUACUGAUAUAUAUUCAUGAAGGUUAAAAUUGAGAAUGGAAAGGGGGAAUGCGUCAAAGAGACAACAACCUGACCGAAGAGCAUAAAGCAGUUGAAGGUCACCAAUGGGUGUCCAAUGCAAUAAGAAAAUCCCGCACCCGGAGGCGUGCUUGAGAUGUUCCCUAAACAAAUGUAUACCAUUGAUAAUGGACAAUAUGACGACUAAGAUACAGAAGUCUCUUUCACAAAUAAAUAAGCAGAUUUAUUUUUGACCCAACUUUAAAAUCAUUAUUAAAAACUAAUCUAUAGAAAAAAGGACAUAUCGCCUAAAUUCUUUGUUUUUUAUUACACAGAAGUUAAACAAAACAUGAUACGAAUAACAUUUCUUAACUGGCCUUCGAUCGGUUACAGAUUCAAAUUUCUAAAGCAAAUAAUUCAAAAUAAAUCCAAUCUUUUAAAAUUUCCAAAUUAUACCCCACAAUUAAAGAGCGGCAAAAGAUAAUAAAGAGGCAUUCAAAAUCACAAGUUAUCAAAAAGACAAACUAUCAUUAAAAAAAACUCAGUAUACUACAAUAACUACAUGUAAAAACAGCAUAUUGAACAAAUUUAAAAACUGUAUAAGCUAUUGGGUCUUAGAUAACAUAUAUAUAUAUGUGUGCUCUUAAUUCAACUUGAUUGGUAACAUACGUUCAUUUUACAACUCACAUGGUUAUCGUCUUGUACAAAAUUAGAAACCUUGUCAAUAAUUAUUCUUGUUCAUAUCUUAAUGCUUUACGACAAAUAUCAAUACGAUAUAAGUUUAACAGACACCAUCACGAUUUGGUUGGGCAAUACAAUUUGUAAGAAUCUCAAACCAUAGAGACAUCUUUUUGCAAUUUUGGAUGUGUAUAGUUGUAUGAUUUAAGUGAUUGAAAAUUAAUGUGAUUUCACAUGGCGGAUGAUGCAGUCAUAUAAGGCGGAGUUUGCUCUGUUGAAACACUCGGCAUCGCUUCUUUAUAAUUUCGUGCUAUUCCAUAGGUUUAUUUUAUAUCUGUAUUUUUUGCUUCCUGAACAAUUUACGAGAGUUAAAUAUCAAUAAAUUACUAUUGAUUUAAUUUCGUAUUCAAAUAUAUUUGUUAGAUUUGAUCUUUUUAGACAUGGCACGAUUUAACUCCAGACAUAUUGUACAGACUCCUCUCGUUGUUUGUUUGUUAUUUAUGUUACUGUUUUUUCUUAUUGGCGUAUAUUCCUUAUACAACUUUCUCUUCUCUAAUUAAAUUUAAAUCAUCUAUAUAUCAAUGUGUAGUAAUUUCAUUAUAAAUGACCGCACAGUACCCUUAAAAAAUAUUAACGAUACAUGGUUUUCAGGAACUUAGCUUUUAUCGAAUUUCUUUGUAUUUUUGUGAUCAUUUUGAAAACGAGAUGAUUUUAAGAUAUGCAUGAUUACUUGCAGACAGAACAACGACACAAUAUGGUAAUUUUGAACCACGGCAACCCAUGUGGUCCCCACCUAGAACCACACCUAAACCUACAACUACUGCUGGAACUACAACGCCACCUGGAGGUCGAAGUGUUCGUUUACCACUCAAUUUAUAUCCAGUUUUAUAUGAUCUAGAACUUCAACCUUUUAUAUAUGAUAGAAAUCCAGCCGACUUCUAUUUUAAAGGAAAAGUUAAAAUUGAAAUGGAAUGCAGGAGAUCAACAAAUGAAAUAGUUCUGCACAGUAAUAAGCUUAACAUUACGACAAGUUCUGUGACGAUAACACCAAUGUCAUCUGGACAGAGUAUAAUAAAUCCUACAAUAGAAUUUGACACUGUAAAUCAGUUCCUGAUUUUAAAAACAAGUACUCAAUUUAUUGUCGGGUCGAUCUAUACUGUUUACAUUGAGUUCACUGGACCUUUACUUCCUGAUCUGGCUGGGUUUUAUCAAAGUUCAUACAAACGUGGAAAUAAUACUAUGUAAGUAGAAAUCAGAAGUCUUCACAUAAAAGAAAGAUGAAAAAUAUUUCUUGUUUCGUUGUAUUAGAUAGCUGUCUCUAGUAUAAUAUGAUCAACUGUAAAUCCUCUUUGAAAAAGCAAAUCUUUUUGGCAGGAAUGAAACACUGAAACAUAUUAAUUAUCGUGUCUAUAGAAGACUUACAUGUUCGUGGAUCUUUAAUGUUGUGGUUUUGCAGAAGUCUGCAUACAAUUCUAUUGAAAAGCUAUUAUUCCUUUAAAAUUUAAUUUCCUGGUUCACCUGUACCCACGAAUUCCACGAAAAUUGGUAUCGGACGAAUAAUAAUGAGUUCAUUGUAUAUGUAUUCAUUGAUCUUAAGUUAUGAUUUUACUUUCAGUUUGCAUUAUGAUUAUUUACUAUUGGAUUGUUUAUUUGACAGUUAUAUUGCAACAACACAGAUGCAGCCAACAGACGCACGAAAAACAUUUCCAUGUUUUGAUGAGCCGGCAGUCAAAGCACAAUUUAAAAUUACACUUGUACGAAAACAACACAUGGUCUCACUGUCAAACACACCAAUAACUAGUAAUAUGACCAGG
Molecule: long non-coding RNA, 5840 nt
Filed under: Mytilus galloprovincialis (Mediterranean mussel)
Lineage: Eukaryota; Metazoa; Mollusca; Bivalvia; Mytilida; Mytilidae
Source: RNAcentral